This 1783-nucleotide ribosomal RNA is filed under the name Philothermopsis sp. CO927. RNAcentral describes it as "eukaryotic LSU rRNA". The stretch from base 459 to 1783 matches the Rfam family "Eukaryotic large subunit ribosomal RNA", at positions 665 to 1873 of the family's 3401-position model. The record is from RNAcentral. Lineage: Eukaryota; Metazoa; Arthropoda; Insecta; Coleoptera; Cerylonidae.
GAAACCGUUCAGGGGUAAACCAGAGAAAUCCGAAAGAACGACGGGGGCGAUUCAUUCGUGACGCGGUUGCCGGCCGCGGACCUCUGGGCGACGCGGCGCGCUUCGGCGCGCCAGCGCGCCCGUAGUUCGCGAGCAGGCCCCGCACGCGUGCACUUCGCCCCCGGCAGGACGUCGCGACCCGUUGGGUGUCGGCCUAAGGCCCGCGGUGGAGCACGCGCGCGUCUCGGCGCGCGCGUACCCGCGGUCGCCCGGCCGGCGCGCCCGACGGUUCAAUCGAGGCGCGAGCCCGCCGUUAAGGCGUUCGGCCCGCGGCAAGCACUCCCGCAGCGACGGACGCCGGACCUGGUGCCGGCUUCGCGCUCGGGGGGCUGUUCGCCGCGGACGCUCCGGACAGAGCUCGUUCGCCGGUCCGCGACGCAGGAGCUUCGGAUACUCUCUGGACCCGUCUUGAAACACGGACCAAGGAGUCUAGCACGCGGGCGAGUCACUGGGACCACUCGAAACCCAAAGGCGAAGUUAAUGCGAAGACCCACCUUGCGUGUGGUCGAGGGAGGAUGGGUGCGACCGCGGUCGCGCCCCGCACUCCCGGGGCGUCCCGUGCUCAUCGCGAGCUGGGGCGCACCCAGAGCCUGCGCGCUAGGACCCGAAAGAUGGUGAACUAUGCCUGGUCAGGACGAAGUCAGGGGAAACCCUGAUGGAGGUCCGCAGCGAUUCUGACGUGCAAAUCGAUCGUCGGAGCUGGGUAUAGGGGCGAAAGACUAAUCGAACCAUCUAGUAGCUGGUUCCCUCCGAAGUUUCCCUCAGGAUAGCUGGCGCUCGUGGCCGACGAGUCUCAUCCGGUAAAGCGAAUGAUUAGAGGCAUCGGGGCCGAAACGGCCUCGACCUAUUCUCAAACUUUAAAUGGGUGAGAUCUCCGGCCCGCCCGAAUUUACGGGGCCGCGAGAUCGGAUCAGAGUGCCAAGUGGGCCAUUUUUGGUAAGCAGAACUGGCGCUGUGGGAUGAACCAAACGCCGGGUUAAAGCGCCCAAGUCGACGCUCAUGGGACACCAUGAAAGGCGUUGGUAACUUAGGACAGCAGGGCGGUGGCCAUGGAAGUCGGAAUCCGCCAAGGAGUGUGUAACAACUCACCUGCCGAAGUUACUAGCCCUGAAAAUGGAUGGCGCUGAAGCGUCGCGCUUAUACCCGGCCGUCAGCGGCACGUGCGGUCGCGUCGCAAGGCGCGGCCAUGAAGCCCUGACGAGUAGGAGGGUCGCGGCGGUGAGCGCAGAAGGACCGGCCGCGAGGCCGUCCGGAGCCGCCGUCGGCGCAGAUCUUGGUGGUAGUAGCAAAUACUCCAGCGAGGCCCUGGAGGACUGACGUGGAGAAGGGUUUCGUGUGAACAGCCGUUGCACACGAGUCAGUCGAUCCUAAGCCCUAGGCGAAAGCCGAUGUUGAUGCGGCGCCGUACACUCAGGUACGCGCCCGUCGGGCGAAAGGGAAUCCGGUUCCUAUUCCGGAACCCGGCAGCGGAACCGCAACCAAAUCGGGCCCUCGCAAGAGAGUUCGUCGGGGUAACCCAAAAGGACCCGGAGACGCCGUCGGGAGGUGCGGGAAGAGUUUUCUUUUCUGCAUGAGCGUUCGAGUUCCAUGGAAUCCUCCAGCAGGGAGAUAUGGUUUGGAACGCGAAGAGCACCGCAGUUGCGGCGGUGUCCGCACCUUCCCCUCGGACCUUGAAAAUCCGGGAGAGGGCCACGUGGAGGCGUCGCGCCGGCUCGUACCCAUAUCCGCAGCAGGUCUCCAAGGU